Molecule: transfer RNA, 73 nt
Filed under: Leptolyngbya sp.
Lineage: Bacteria; Bacillati; Cyanobacteriota; Cyanophyceae; Leptolyngbyales; Leptolyngbyaceae
Description: tRNA-Phe
Rfam family: tRNA
About the family: Transfer RNA (tRNA) molecules are approximately 80 nucleotides in length. Their secondary structure includes four short double-helical elements and three loops (D, anti-codon, and T loops).
Source: RNAcentral
GGGAAUGUAGCUGAGAUGGCUGUAGCGCUAGGUUGAAGCCCUAGAGACGCGGGUUCAAUUCCUGCCGUUCCCA